AAACGUUAACUUAUUUAUUCGUAGAGCAGGGAUCGAGAUAAUACUUCAAAAAAACAGCCACAAGAACUUCCAAAUUCACAAUCCAAAACCCUUUUAAGGCUUUCAGCUUUCAUGCUAUGAGGAAUGGCAGCACUGUUAGCAUGAAGGCCAGGCCUCGUAAGUGAAAGUUGCCGAACCAGAGUAUGAGGAGUCCUUUUCUUUGAAUUUCUCAGUCAGACCCUUGACAGUAAGACAGCACUCAAUGAAAUUGUCAUAUUCAAUGGCCUUAUUUUUGCCUCCACUUUUAUCAAACUUAGAGACCAACAAAUCCAAAACGACUGGUGAGACAGUAAAUCCCAAACUAUAUAGAGCCUCCCUCAGCUCAUUAGAAUCAAUCUUGCCACUCC
RNAcentral lists this unclassified non-coding RNA (386 nucleotides) under Hevea brasiliensis (rubber tree). Lineage: Eukaryota; Viridiplantae; Streptophyta; Magnoliopsida; Malpighiales; Euphorbiaceae. The record is from RNAcentral.